This 375-nucleotide ribosomal RNA is filed under the name uncultured bacterium. RNAcentral describes it as "bacterial SSU rRNA". It matches the Rfam family "Bacterial small subunit ribosomal RNA", at positions 28 to 404 of the family's 1533-position model. The record is from RNAcentral.
GACGAACGCUGGCGGCGUGCUUAACACAUGCAAGUCGAGCGGUAAGGCCCUUUCGGGGGUACACGAGCGGCGAACGGGUGAGUAACACGUGGGUGACCUGCCCUUAGCUCUGGGAUAAGCCUGGGAAACUGGGUCUAAUACCGGAUAUGACUCCAUGACGCAUGUUGUGGGGUGGAAAGCCUUGUGCGGCUAGGGAUGGGCCUGCGGCCUAUCAGCUUGUUGGUGGGGUGAUGGCCUACCAAGGCGACGACGGGUAGCCGGCCUGAGAGGGCGACCGGCCACACUGGGACUGAGACACGGCCCAGACUCCUACGGGAGGCAGCAGUGGGGAAUCUUGCGCAAUGGGCGAAAGCCUGACGCAGCGACGCCGCGGGG